This 30-nucleotide non-coding RNA is filed under the name Homo sapiens (human). Lineage: Eukaryota; Metazoa; Chordata; Mammalia; Primates; Hominidae. The record is from RNAcentral.
AGGCUAAGGGAUUCAGGACUCUCUUGAGAC